GGCGGCGUAGCUCAGGGGCUAGAGCAUUCGGUUCAUACCCGACAGGUCGUAGGUUCAAAUCCCACCGCCGCUACCA
RNAcentral lists this transfer RNA (76 nucleotides) under Ruminiclostridium herbifermentans. RNAcentral describes it as "tRNA-Met". It matches the Rfam family "tRNA". Rfam says of the family: Transfer RNA (tRNA) molecules are approximately 80 nucleotides in length. Lineage: Bacteria; Bacillati; Bacillota; Clostridia; Eubacteriales; Oscillospiraceae. The record is from RNAcentral.